UCCGGUUCAUCACCAGCAGUCUCCUUAGAGUCCCCACCAUGACGUGUUGGCAACUAAGGAUAGGGGUUGCGCUCGUUACGGGACUUAACCCAACAUCUCACAACACGAGCUGACGACAGCCAUGCAGCACCUGUCUCUAGGUUCCUUUCGGCACUCUCACAUCUCUGCAAGAUUCCUAGGAUGUCAAGGGUAGGUAAGGUUCUUCGCGUUGCGUCGAAUUAAACCACAUGCUCCACCGCUUGUGCGGGCCCCCGUCAAUUCCUUUGAGUUUUAACCUUGCGGCCGUACUCCCCAGGCGGAGAACUUAUCGCGUUAGCUUCGAUACUUAUGCGCUCGCGCGCACCAACAUCUAGUUCUCAUCGUUUACAGCGUGGACUAC
RNAcentral lists this unclassified non-coding RNA (379 nucleotides) under uncultured Gammaproteobacteria bacterium. RNAcentral describes it as "contains 16S-23S intergenic spacer region". The record is from RNAcentral. Lineage: Bacteria; Pseudomonadati; Pseudomonadota; Gammaproteobacteria.